Phascolarctos cinereus (koala) is the source of this 1151-nucleotide non-coding RNA. Lineage: Eukaryota; Metazoa; Chordata; Mammalia; Diprotodontia; Phascolarctidae. The record is from RefSeq and is a predicted model, not a curated record.
CCGCGGGCGUAAUUCUGGUCUGGCUUCUGUAGUGGGGACAGCUCGUGCCGAUUCAAGAGGAAGCCCAGCAAGGAGCUGGGCCACAGGUGAUUACUCCUCAAGACCCCAGGCAGAAGUCUGUUCCUUUGGGCCUAAGGAGAAAAGGGUAAUGAAGGGCCACUUCAACUUCAAAUGCAAAAGUCACAAUCAGGAUCUCAUUGAUCUCAUACAACCCAGGAACUGACCUGAAAAGAUGUACUGAAAGAAACUCCUAGAUGAAGCAUCCUGGGAAGAUGGCAGAGUAGGUCAGAAAUUUCCAGACUCUCCAAAUUUCCUCCACAAAUAGACAGAACAUCACCACAAAAUGAACUCACAGCAACAAGAGUAAAGGGGUAAAGCAAUCAUCUUCCUAAGACACCUUGAGAGGACCUCAGGAAAGAUAGACCCUUAUGAGGCUGAAGUUUGGCAUGAGUGAAGUGCAGACGUCUCCAGACCAACUUUGCUGAACCAACAAACAGCAGACCCUGGAAGGAACUCCUUCAGGAAGCAAACUAGUCCUCAAGAAAUUUCACCUCAUAAAAUUUUCACCUCACAAACUUUCAUCUAACAAAAAGCUUAGGGAUCAGAUGGCUGAAUGGGAGAAGACUGAAAGACACCUACUGUUUCUGGAUACCAGGCCUAGCAGUGCUGACCAGACAUGAUCCUAGGCUAUGGCUUUGGGUAAGGAAGAGCAAGCACAUGGCAGUGAGUGAGGUACCUCAGGAAGCAAGAACAUUUUUGGGAUGUGACUGGAGGCUCUACCUGUGGCUUAGGGGAGGAGAAGUGCCUGAGGUUGAACCCCUAGAUAGAAUUCAGAAAAUAAAAGUAAGGAAGACCUCAGGCCUCGGACACCAUCACUCACAAGUCAGGAUUAAAGCCUGAUUACAAUAACAAGCUGCUAAAAAUAGACUAAAAUAAAAUAAAAAUGAGUAAGCAAAGGAAAAAGAGCCCCACCAUAGAUAGCUUCUAUGGUAUAAAAGAAGAUCUGGGUUCAUAUUCACAGGAAGAUAGUGAGGUUAAAAAAAGCCACUCCUACCCCAAAAAAUUACAUCGAAUUGUCACAAGCCCAAAAAGAGUAUUUGGAAUAACUUAAUUCUUCCCAGUUUUUCCUCUACUUCUCUUGCUUCUCAAAA